CUGUAACAUUCAAAUAUAUGAUACGAAAAUUUACAGUUUUUAAAAGAUUUUUUACUAUUCACUAUCGUAAUUUCAUUAAGAGUUUAUUGUAAUCAAUUCAAUAAGAAAUAUUACAAUGUUACUAUCGUAAAUAGUAAAAGAAUAAAAAAUAAGAUUUAAUUAUGCUAUUUAUUCUUUUAUUCUUCCUUUUAAUUUACAGUGCUGCCUCUAUGUUUUUACAAUACAAGCUACAAAAAUUACGAUAGUUGGAUUGUAAAUUUUCUGAAAUGGUAUAGUAUAUGCCAUCUGAAGCGUUUACGUAUGAAAGACAAGUGUUGUCACAAACCAUGAUGUGAUGCUUGUAUGAGUGUAUAUAUAUAUAUAUAAAUACAAAUGAUGACAUCUACUUUGUCUGUAUUAUUUGUGGUUCAACUAUAUAUAUUUAUAAAUCAGUUCAUCUUUAUCCACAGUGUAGUGCAGAAAUAGAGGUUAUUAUUCAUGACGUUUUUCGGACAAUUGUAAAUAAGAAAUUUAAAAUAAAAACUGUACUUUCGUCAUUACAAACCUACAUAGAUUGUGGAAUAUAAUAAUUUGGUGGUGAUAAUCUUCAUUUGUCGACAAUGAAUAAUUUUACCCGGCUUUGCGAGAGGUAAAACAUUUCAAUAACCUCAAAUUAUGGACAUUCAACAUUUCUUUAUGAUACUGAAGUUAGCAGACGCCUAAUAAUUUUUGGAUUUUUUUAAAAAUGAUAAAUUAUAGAAAAAAAGUAUUCGAAAAAAUUGCACCUAUGGUUUUUUUAAUUUUCUACAUGUGCGUAUUUUGAAUACAAAUAAAUGAGUUAUUUAUUCAUAAAUUUUAUAUAUACCAAAAAAAUAUGUUUGAAAAAAUAUUAAAUAAAUGUUUUAUUAUUACUACUUCAA
Molecule: long non-coding RNA, 899 nt
Organism: Microplitis mediator
Lineage: Eukaryota; Metazoa; Arthropoda; Insecta; Hymenoptera; Braconidae
Exons: 2
Source: RefSeq, a predicted model, not a curated record